RNAcentral lists this ribosomal RNA (253 nucleotides) under uncultured bacterium. RNAcentral's name for it is "partial 16S ribosomal RNA". It matches the Rfam family "Bacterial small subunit ribosomal RNA", at positions 524 to 776 of the family's 1533-position model. The record is from RNAcentral.
UACAGAGGUCCCAAGCGUUGUUCGGAUUCACUGGGCGUAAAGGGUGCGUAGGUGGCGAGGUAAGUCGGAUGUGAAAGCUCGGAGCUCAACUCCGAAAUGGCAUUGGAAACUACCUUGCUCGAGGGUUGGAGGGGGGACUGGAAUACUUGGUGUAGCAGUGAAAUGCGUAGAUAUCAAGUGGAACACCAGUGGCGAAGGCGGCUCACUGGCCCGGUACUGACGCUGAGGCACGAAAGCGUGGGGAGCAAACAGG